RNAcentral lists this non-coding RNA (45 nucleotides) under Schistosoma curassoni. Lineage: Eukaryota; Metazoa; Platyhelminthes; Trematoda; Strigeidida; Schistosomatidae. The record is from RNAcentral.
AUUCAACUGGCGAGUCCCAAAUAGGAUGAAAUGCGUGUCCUGGAU